GGCCCCUCGGGGCCCAACCUCCCACCCGUGUUGCCCGAACCUAUGUUGCCUCGGCGGGCCCCGCGCCCGCCGACGGCCCCCCUGAACGCUGUCUGAAGUUGCAGUCUGAGACCUAUAACGAAAUUAGUUAAAACUUUCAACAACGGAUCUCUUGGUUCCGGCAUCGAUGAAGAACGCAGCGAAAUGCGAUAACUAAUGUGAAUUGCAGAAUUCAGUGAAUCAUCGAGUCUUUGAACGCACAUUGCGCCCUCUGGUAUUCCGGAGGGCAUGCCUGUCCGAGCGUCAUUGCUGCCCUCAAGCCCGGCUUGUGUGUUGGGCCCCGUCCCCCCCGCCGGGGGGACGGGCCCGAAAGGCAGCGGCGGCACCGCGUCCGGUCCUCGAGCGUAUGGGGCUUCGUCACCCGCUCUAGUAGGCCCGGCCGGCGCCAGCCGACCCCCAACCUUUAAUUAUCUCAGGUUGACCUCGGAUCAGGUAGGGAUACCCGCU
Molecule: ribosomal RNA, 486 nt
Filed under: Penicillium sp. Lt
Lineage: Eukaryota; Fungi; Ascomycota; Eurotiomycetes; Eurotiales; Aspergillaceae
Description: eukaryotic LSU rRNA
Rfam family: 5.8S ribosomal RNA (bases 132-285)
Source: RNAcentral